AGUUACACACUGGGGCUUAUGGGAAAGAGAAAAGGAAAACUAAUAAUUGGCAAGUUAGUUACAGAUAAUGGUGUGCUGGUGACAUUCACAGAACAUCUAUGACAAGUAUUUUUAUGAAUUGAAGAAAGUACCGACUAUUUUCCAACAGUUUUUUUUCCCCCCCUGGGGAGAGGGGAAUGAGGUAGUGAAAAAUUGUGAGUAUAAAAUUUUGGAUAUAUUAAUUCACUUCAUUGUAGAAGAAAAGCUGUUGUUAAAAUAGACUAAUGUUAAAUGUAGAAAAAUUUUAUGUGCAGAUGAACAAGGCUUUUUCCUUUGUUUUACUUUAUGCCAAAUGCUGAUCUGGGAUAAAAGUGGUGUAUAAGAAAUAAGCAGUUUCAGCCGGGCAGUGGUGGUACAUGCCUUUAAUCCCAGCACUCGGGAGGCAGAGGCAGGCAGAUUUCUGAGUUCGAGGCCAUCCUGGUCUACGAGUGAGUUCCAGGACAGCUGGAGCUAUGCAGAGAAACCCUGUCUCGAAAAACCAAAAAAAAAAAAAAAAAAAAAAAAAAAAAAAAGAACAAAAAAGAAAUAAGCAGUUUCAAAGAUCUUCAUCAGCUGCUGUGGGCCCCCACUUUUCAACAUCCUGGGAUGGGGGUUCAGGCAGGCAGCCCUCCCUACACACUUGUAAGAGAAAUCUGCCCCUCAGAUGGCUUGAUUUGUUUUUGGAUUACUCUGCUUGUUACAGAGUUCUUAGUACUCUGUUGAAGAAAAGUUUACCUCAGGGAGAGUAUUAGCUGUAAUAGAUCAGAAUGAGCCUUAAAAACCGAUCAAGGUCUCGUCACUACCUAAACCAGUUAAGUCACUGGGAACGGGACCCAAGCCCCAGGGAGUUUCAGGGACAGCCAGGACUGCUAACCCCUGCACACUCUCCCAGAAGCCUAUUAAAUCUUAAAAGGCUGCUUCCUGUUUCACCUUCUCUUCCCCAAGGACAUUAUCUCGUGGUCUCCACAGGAAGAGGCUCACAUGGUUGAAAGUUUUGGAAGAUGAGUGUCGAUUUGUACUGACAUCAUUAUAACAGCAUGCAUCUGUU
Molecule: long non-coding RNA, 1066 nt
Filed under: Mus musculus (house mouse)
Lineage: Eukaryota; Metazoa; Chordata; Mammalia; Rodentia; Muridae
Description: long non-coding RNA chr12:44373196-44374262
Source: RNAcentral